This 497-nucleotide ribosomal RNA is filed under the name uncultured bacterium. Its description in RNAcentral is "partial 16S ribosomal RNA". It matches the Rfam family "Bacterial small subunit ribosomal RNA", at positions 28 to 507 of the family's 1533-position model. The record is from RNAcentral.
GAUGAACGCUGGCGGCGUGCCUAAUACAUGCAAGUCGAGCGAACGGACGAGAAGCUUGCUUCUCUGAUGUUAGCGGCGGACGGGUGAGUAACACGUGGAUAACCUACCUAUAAGACUGGGAUAACUUCGGGAAACCGGAGCUAAUACCGGAUAAUAUUUUGAACCGCAUGGUUCAAAAGUGAAAGACGGUCUUGCUGUCACUUAUAGAUGGAUCCGCGCUGCAUUAGCUAGUUGGUAAGGUAACGGCUUACCAAGGCAACGAUGCAUAGCCGACCUGAGAGGGUGAUCGGCCACACUGGAACUGAGACACAGUCCAGACUCCUACGGGAGGCAGCAGUAGGGAAUCUUCCGCAAUGGGCGAAAGCCUGACGGAGCAACGCCGCGUGAGUGAUGAAGGUCCUCGGAUCGUAAAACUCUGUUAUUAGGGAAGAACAUAUGUGUAAGUAACUGUGCACAUCUUGACGGUACCUAAUCAGAAAGCCACGGCUAACUACGUG